CUUGGUCAUUUAGAGGAAGUAAAAGUCGUAACAAGGUUUCCGUAGGUGAACCUGCGGAAGGAUCAUUAUUGAAAAAGACUAUGAAGUCCCGUUUUUUCAUAAAAUGGGUUCAAUACCCACAACCGUGUAUACCUUACCUUUGUUGCUUUGGCAGGCCGCCUCCGGGCGUCGGCUUCGGCUGACAGCGCCUGCCAGAGGACCCAAACUCUGUGUUUAGUGAUGUCUGAGUAAUAUAUAAUAUUUAAAACUUUCAACAACGGAUCUCUUGGUUCUGGCAUCGAUGAAGAACGCAGCGAAAUGCGAUAAGUAAUGUGAAUUGCAGAAUUCAGUGAAUCAUCGAAUCUUUGAACGCACAUUGCGCCCCUUGGUAUUCCGAGGGGCAUGCCUGUUCGAGCGUCAUUAUGACCACUCAAGCCUAGCUUGGUAUUGGGGUUCGCGUGCUCGCAGCCCUUAAAAUCAGUGGCGGUGCCGCCUGGCUCUAAGCGUAGUAAUGCUCUCGCUAUUGAGUUCCCGGGCGGUUGCUUGCCAAAAUCCCCCCACUUUCUUAGGUUGACCUCGGAUCAGGUAGGGAUACCCGCUGAACUUAAGCAUAUCAAUAAGCGGAGGA
This 607-nucleotide ribosomal RNA is filed under the name uncultured Hyaloscypha. RNAcentral's name for it is "eukaryotic LSU rRNA". The stretch from base 246 to 399 matches the Rfam family "5.8S ribosomal RNA". Lineage: Eukaryota; Fungi; Ascomycota; Leotiomycetes; Helotiales; Hyaloscyphaceae. The record is from RNAcentral.